GGGGGUGUAGCUCAGUGGUAGAGCGUCCGCUUUGCAUGCGGAAGGUCUGGGGUUCGAUCCCCCACACUUCCA
Molecule: non-coding RNA, 72 nt
Organism: Symsagittifera roscoffensis
Lineage: Eukaryota; Metazoa; Xenacoelomorpha; Acoela; Convolutidae
Source: the annotation of a RefSeq genome assembly